Molecule: ribosomal RNA, 460 nt
Filed under: uncultured bacterium
Lineage: Bacteria
Description: partial 16S ribosomal RNA
Rfam family: Bacterial small subunit ribosomal RNA
Source: RNAcentral
CCUACGGGUGGCAGCAGUGAGGAAUAUUGGUCAAUGGACGAGAGGCUGAACCAGCCAAGUAGCGUGAAGGAAGACUGCCCUAUGGGUUGUAAACUUCUUUUAUAUGGGAGUAAAAUGUUCCACGUGUGAGACUUUGUAUGUACCAUAUGAAAAAGGAUCGGCUAACUCCGUGCCAGCAGCCGCGGUAAUACGGAGGAUCCGAGCGUUAUCCGGAUUUAUUGGGUUUAAAGGGAGCGUAGAUGGGUUGUUAAGUCAGGUGGGAAAGUUGCGGGCUCAACCGUCAAACUGCAAUUGAUACUGGCAGUCUUGAGUACAGUAGAGGUAGGCGGAAUUCGUGGUGUAGCGGUGAAAUGCUUAGAUAUCACGAAGAACUCCGAUUGCGAAGGCAGCUCACUGGACGGCCACUGACAUUGAUGCUCGAAAGUGUGGGUAUCAAACAGGAUUAGAUACCCCAGUAGUC